GACGAACGCUGGCGGCGUGCCUAAUACAUGCAAGUAGAACGCUGAAGGAGGAGCUUGCUCUUCUGGAUGAGUUGCGAACGGGUGAGUAACGCGUAGGUAACCUGCCUGGUAGCGGGGGAUAACUAUUGGAAACGAUAGCUAAUACCGCAUAAUAGUAGAUGUUGCAUGACAUUUACUUAAAAGGUGCAAUUGCAUCACUACCAGAUGGACCUGCGUUGUAUUAGCUAGUUGGUGGGGUAACGGCUCACCAAGGCGACGAUACAUAGCCGACCUGAGAGGGUGAUCGGCCACACUGGGACUGAGACACGGCCCAGACUCCUACGGGAGGCAGCAGUAGGGAAUCUUCGGCAAUGGACGAAAGUCUGACCGAGCAACGCCGCGUGAGUGAAGAAGGUUUUCGGAUCGUAAAGCUCUGUUGUAAGAGAAGAACGAGUGUGAGAGUGGAAAGUUCACACUGUGACGGUAUCUUACCAGAAAGGGACGGCUAACUACGUGCCAGCAGCCGCGGUAAUACGUAGGUCCCGAGCGUUGUCUGGAUUUAUUGGGCGUAAAGCGAGCGCAGGCGGUUAGAUAAGUCUGAAGUUAAAGGCUGUGGCUUAACCAUAGUACGCUUUGGAAACUGUUUAACUUGAGUGCAAGAGGGGAGAGUGGAAUUCCAUGUGUAGCGGUGAAAUGCGUAGACAUAUGGAGGAACACCGGUGGCGAAAGCGGCUCUCUGGCUUGUAACUGACGCUGAGGCUCGAAAGCGUGGGGAGCAAACAGG
Molecule: ribosomal RNA, 763 nt
Filed under: uncultured Streptococcus sp.
Lineage: Bacteria; Bacillati; Bacillota; Bacilli; Lactobacillales; Streptococcaceae
Description: bacterial SSU rRNA
Rfam family: Bacterial small subunit ribosomal RNA
Source: RNAcentral